UGUGGAUCGGGCUCUGUAACCAUUUGAGGAUAGAUGGGUUUCCAACCUAAAACCAAUUGGUGAUAAGUGGAGUGGUCUAUCUAUCUUAUAUAUUAAGAAGGAUCCCUUCCAACAUCCGAUGUGGGACACUUUAUGUCUAAUACGCCCCCUCGAGAUGAUGGCUCUUUGAGCGUCAAUCUCGGAAUGCUCGGGUAAGGAUCGAUUGGCCAACUUUGGGCUAGAUCGAUGUGGAUCGGAUUGUACUG
RNAcentral lists this long non-coding RNA (245 nucleotides) under Brassica rapa (field mustard). RNAcentral's name for it is "long non-coding RNA (BRAP_LNC004869)". The record is from RNAcentral. Lineage: Eukaryota; Viridiplantae; Streptophyta; Magnoliopsida; Brassicales; Brassicaceae.